AUUGAAGGAGCUGCCCCCUAGAGGCCUUGCAGGUGUGGCUGCUGUGUCACAAGUGUGACAGCAGGUGGCAGAGAGGAGCCAGGCUGUGUCUCAGUGAGCUAGCCUGAGGGGACCAUCAGUCUGGCAGU
RNAcentral lists this small nucleolar RNA (128 nucleotides) under Mus pahari (shrew mouse). RNAcentral describes it as "snoRNA (MGP_PahariEiJ_G0034866.1)". It matches the Rfam family "Small nucleolar RNA SNORA17". Rfam says of the family: snoRNA ACA 17 belongs to the H/ACA family of snoRNAs and is predicted to guide pseudouridylation of the 28S rRNA at positions U4659 and U4598. It shares the same host gene together with ACA43. Lineage: Eukaryota; Metazoa; Chordata; Mammalia; Rodentia; Muridae. The record is from RNAcentral.